GCUCAGAGAGAACGCUGUCGCUAGACCCAACACACACAAGUCGAGCGCCAGCACACUAAGAACUUGCUUUUACGGGUGGCGAGUGGCGGACGGGUGAGGAAUACAUCGGAAUCUACUUUUUCGUGGGGGAUAACGUAGGGAAACUUACGCUAAUACCGCAUACGACCUACGGGUGAAAGCAGGGGAUCUUCGGACCUUGCGCGAUUGAAUGAGCCGAUGUCGGAUUAGCUAGUUGGCGGGGUAAAGGCCCACCAAGGCGACGAUCCGUAGCUGGUCUGAGAGGAUGAUCAGCCACACUGGAACUGAGACACGGUCCAGACUCCUACGGGAGGCAGCAGUGGGGAAUAUUGGACAAUGGGCGCAAGCCUGAUCCAGCCAUACCGCGUGGGUGAAGAAGGCCUUCGGGUUGUAAAGCCCUUUUGUUGGGAAAGAAAUCCAGCCGGCUAAUACCUGGUUGGGAUGACGGUACCCAAAGAAUAAGCACCGGCUAACUUCGUGCCAGCAGCCGCGGUAAUACGAAGGGUGCAAGCGUUACUCGGAAUUACUGGGCGUAAAGCGUGCGUAGGUGGUCGUUUAAGUCCGUUGUGAAAGCCCUGGGCUCAACCUGGGAACUGCAGUGGAUACUGGGCGACUAGAGUGUGGUAGAGGGUAGCGGAAUUCCUGGUGUAGCAGUGAAAUGCGUAGAGAUCAGGAGGAACAUCCAUGGCGAAGGCAGCUACCUGGACCAACACUGACA
RNAcentral lists this ribosomal RNA (736 nucleotides) under Stenotrophomonas sp. Its description in RNAcentral is "bacterial SSU rRNA". It matches the Rfam family "Bacterial small subunit ribosomal RNA", at positions 22 to 745 of the family's 1533-position model. Lineage: Bacteria; Pseudomonadati; Pseudomonadota; Gammaproteobacteria; Lysobacterales; Lysobacteraceae. The record is from RNAcentral.